This 455-nucleotide long non-coding RNA is filed under the name Gallus gallus (chicken). RNAcentral's name for it is "long non-coding RNA NONGGAT002964". The record is from RNAcentral. Lineage: Eukaryota; Metazoa; Chordata; Aves; Galliformes; Phasianidae.
GGAGCUGGCAGCCCCAGGAGCCCUGAAGGAGCCACUGACCCCAGAGAGAGCCCUGCGGGAGGCAGCGACGUGUGUGUGGGAUCCAGCCCGGCCACCAUCUCCUUCCCCUUCUACACCUGGGUUGAGCCAUGCCACAGGUGCACAGAGAAGGGGUGAGCACCUGUGCCACCGCUCAGCCUCUUCCCUGCCCCCAAGCACUGUGCCCGGCCUCCAGCAGCAGCAGCAGCACACGGCGCUGGGGAUCCUGCACCACAUCCAGCGCUGCCUGCGGGAGCUGCAAGUAGAGGACCUCGGUGUGCUGGGAGCAGAGCUGGGCACCACAGCAAAUGAGGAGAGGUUCCUGAUGCCACCUCUUGACAUUCCUCCAAGCCCCAACAGGAACAAGCUCGCUGCUGCGACCAGGACUCGAGAUGAAGCAUGGAGGUGGUGAUGCAUCCCUCUACCUCCCUAUGCAU